This 95-nucleotide transfer RNA is filed under the name Reyranella soli. Its description in RNAcentral is "tRNA-Gly". Lineage: Bacteria; Pseudomonadati; Pseudomonadota; Alphaproteobacteria; Hyphomicrobiales; Reyranellaceae. The record is from RNAcentral.
GAUGGACGUGCAGGUGCAUUUCGUGACUGUCGGCUGUUACCAGUGGCCGGAUGGCAUCGCGCGUCAGCCUUUCGUGCCGCUCGGAGCGGCCGUUG